AACGCACCUUGCGCUCCUUGGUAUUCCGAGGAGCAUGCCUGUUUGAGUGUCAUUAAAUUCUCAAACUCUGAUUGAUUUGUUUCAAUCGAGCUUUGGAUUUGGAGCGUGCCGGCGUCAGUCGGCUCCUCUUGAAUGCAUCAGCGGAAUCCCCAUUCAUUUCGGACGUCAGUGUGAUAAUCAUGUUGCGCUGUCUCUUGCCGAUCUUGAAAGCCCGCUCACAAUGGUCUUCGGACAAACCUCACAUAUCAAAUUUGACCUCAAAUCAGGUAGGACUACCCGCUGAACUUAA
Molecule: unclassified non-coding RNA, 289 nt
Filed under: uncultured Piloderma
Lineage: Eukaryota; Fungi; Basidiomycota; Agaricomycetes; Atheliales; Atheliaceae
Description: sequence contains ITS2
Rfam family: 5.8S ribosomal RNA (bases 1-52)
Source: RNAcentral